UAUGGACAGGAGGUGGGGAUUGAACAGGGGGUGGCUGGUAAGUAGGAGGUUUGUGGACGGGAGGUGGGGAUUGAACAGGUGGUGGCGGGUAAGCAGGAGGUGGCGAUUGAAUAGGUGGUGGUUGGUAAGCAGGAGGUGGGGAUUGAACCGGGGGUGGCUGGUAAGCAGGAGGUGGGGAUUGAACCAGGGGUGGCUGAUAAGCAGGAGGUUUGUGGAUAGGAGGUGGGGAUUGAACAGGUGGUGGCUGGUAAGCAGGAGGUGGGGAUUGAACAGGUGGUGUCUGGUAAGCUGGAGGUUUGUGGACAGGAUGUGGGGAUUGAACAGGGGAUGGAUGGUAAGUAGGAGGCUUGUGGACAGGAGGUGGUUGAUAAGUAGGAGGCUUGUGGACAGGAGGUGGCUGGUAAGUAGGAGGCGGGGAUUGAACGGGUGGAGGUUUGUGAACAGGAGGAGGGGAUUGAAUAGGUGGUGGCCAGUAAGCAGGAGGUUUGUGAACAGGAGGUGGGGAUUGAAUAGGGGGUGGUUUAUAAGUAGGAGGUUUGUGGACAGGAGGUGGAGAUUGAACAGGUGGAGGUUUGUGGACAGGAGGUGGGGAUUGAAUAGGUGGUGGCUGGUAAGCAGGAGGUGGGGAUUGAAUAGGUGGUGGUUGGUAAGUAGGAGGUGAGGAUUGAAUAGGUGGUGGCUGGUAAGUAGGAGGUUUGUGGAUAGAAGGUGGGGAUUUAACAGGUGGUGGUUGGUCAGCAGGAGGCUUUUGGAUAGGAGGUGGGGAUUGAACAGGUGGCGGCUGGUAAGCAGGAGGCUUGUGGACAGGAGGUGGAGAUUGAAUAGGUGAUGGCUUGUAAGCAGGUGGUGGCUGGUAAGUAGGAGGGUUAUGAACAGGAGGUGGUGAUUGAACAGGUGGUGGGGUUUGAACAGGUGGACUCGGUGGAGGAUUAUAACUUGGCGGGGACACUGGUGUGGGUGGUUUUUCUAUUGGUGGAGGAGAUACUGGUGGAGGCGGUUUUUCUAUUGGCGGAGGCUUGUAAAUGGGUGAUGGAGACGGUGGUGAUGAUGGGGUUUCAACAGGUGGUAGCUUGUAAGCAGGAGGGUUAUGAACGGGAGGUGGGGUUUGAACAGGUGGUGGCUGGUAAGGAGGAGGGUUAUGACUAGGAGGUGGUUUUCCAAUAGGUGGACUCGGUGGAGGAUUAUAACUUGGUGGAGACACUGGUGUGG
RNAcentral lists this long non-coding RNA (1209 nucleotides) under Capsicum annuum. Its description in RNAcentral is "long non-coding RNA (CANN_LNC016786)". The record is from RNAcentral. Lineage: Eukaryota; Viridiplantae; Streptophyta; Magnoliopsida; Solanales; Solanaceae.